RNAcentral lists this ribosomal RNA (460 nucleotides) under uncultured bacterium. RNAcentral describes it as "partial 16S ribosomal RNA". It matches the Rfam family "Bacterial small subunit ribosomal RNA", at positions 338 to 795 of the family's 1533-position model. The record is from RNAcentral.
CCUACGGGCGGCAGCAGUGAGGAAUAUUGGUCAAUGGACGAGAGUCUGAACCAGCCAAGUAGCGUGAAGGAUGACUGCUCUAUGGGUUGUAAACUUCUUUUAUAUGGGACUAAAAUGUUCCACGUGUGGGAUUUUGUAUGUACCUUAUGAAUAAGGAUCGGCUAACUCCGUGCCAGCAGCCGCGGUAAUACGGAGGAUCCGAGCGUUAUCCGGAUUUAUUGGGUUUAAAGGGAGCGUAGGUGGAUUGUUAAGUCAGUUGUGAAAGUUUGCGGCUCAACCGUAAAAUUGCAGUUGAAACUGGCAGUCGUGAGUACAGGAGAGGUGAGCGGAAUUCGUGGUGUAGCGGUGAAAUGCUUAGAUAUCACGAAGAACUCCGAUUGCGAAGGCAGCUCACUGGACUGCAACUGACACUGAGGCUCGAAAGUGUGGGUAUCAAACAGGAUUAGAUACCCCUGUAGUC